UACGAAGGGGGCGAGCGUUGUUCGGAAUCACUGGGCGUAAAGGGCGCGUAGGCGGCCCUCUUUGUCGCGUGUGAAAGCCCCGGGCUCAACCUGGGAACGGCGCGCGAAACGGGGGGGCUGGAGUUCGGGAGAGGAGAGUGGAAUUCCCAGUGUAGAGGUGAAAUUCGUAGAUAUUCGGAAGAACACCAGUGGCGAAGGCGACUUACUGGACACAUAUUGACGCUGAGGUGCGAAAGCGUGGGGAGCAAACAGG
Molecule: ribosomal RNA, 253 nt
Filed under: uncultured bacterium
Lineage: Bacteria
Description: partial 16S ribosomal RNA
Rfam family: Bacterial small subunit ribosomal RNA
Source: RNAcentral